Molecule: transfer RNA, 70 nt
Filed under: Renocera pallida
Lineage: Eukaryota; Metazoa; Arthropoda; Insecta; Diptera; Sciomyzidae
Description: tRNA-Val
Rfam family: tRNA
About the family: Transfer RNA (tRNA) molecules are approximately 80 nucleotides in length.
Source: RNAcentral
CAAUUUAAAGCUUAAUAGAAAGUAUUUCAUUUACAUUGAAAGGGUUUAUGUGCAAAUCAUUAUAAGUUGA